UUUAUGGAGAGUUUGAUCCUGGCUCAGGAUGAACGCUGGCGGCGUGCCUAAUACAUGCAAGUCGAGCGAACGGACGAGAAGCUUGCUUCUCUGAUGUUAGCGGCGGACGGGUGAGUAACACGUGGAUAACCUACCUAUAAGACUGGGAUAACUUCGGGAAACCGGAGCUAAUACCGGAUAAUAUUUUGAACCGCAUGGUUCAAAAGUGAAAGACGGUCUUGCUGUCACUUAUAGAUGGAUCCGCGCUGCAUUAGCUAGUUGGUAAGGUAACGGCUUACCAAGGCAACGAUGCAUAGCCGACCUGAGAGGGUGAUCGGCCACACUGGAACUGAGACACGGUCCAGACUCCUACGGGAGGCAGCAGUAGGGAAUCUUCCGCAAUGGGCGAAAGCCUGACGGAGCAACGCCGCGUGAGUGAUGAAGGUCUUCGGAUCGUAAAACUCUGUUAUUAGGGAAGAACAUAUGUGUAAGUAACUGUGCACAUCUUGACGGUACCUAAUCAGAAAGCCACGGCUAACUACGUGCCAGCAGCCGCGGUAAUACGUAGGUGGCAAGCGUUAUCCGGAAUUAUUGGGCGUAAAGCGCGCGUAGGCGGUUUUUUAAGUCUGAUGUGAAAGCCCACGGCUCAACCGUGGAGGGUCAUUGGAAACUGGAAAACUUGAGUGCAGAAGAGGAAAGUGGAAUUCCAUGUGUAGCGGUGAAAUGCGCAGAGAUAUGGAGGAACACCAGUGGCGAAGGCGACUUUCUGGUCUGUAACUGACGCUGAUGUGCGAAAGCGUGGGGAUCAAACAGGAUUAGAUACCCUGGUAGUCCACGCCGUAAACGAUGAGUGCUAAGUGUU
Molecule: ribosomal RNA, 841 nt
Filed under: Staphylococcus aureus
Lineage: Bacteria; Bacillati; Bacillota; Bacilli; Caryophanales; Staphylococcaceae
Also listed under: 1 other name
Description: bacterial SSU rRNA
Rfam family: Bacterial small subunit ribosomal RNA
Source: RNAcentral